RNAcentral lists this unclassified non-coding RNA (502 nucleotides) under Rhodotorula toruloides. The record is from RNAcentral. Lineage: Eukaryota; Fungi; Basidiomycota; Microbotryomycetes; Sporidiobolales; Sporidiobolaceae.
CCGCUCGCCGCUCGACGUGACUGCUUGCUGAGACUGCCAGACGAACGCUUGCCAUCGCUGGAACACGGCCCGAGCAUCCCUGAGCUUCGACGCCUGCUCGACGACAUCCAGCCCCCGCUUGAUCCCAUCAGCCUCGACCCCCGACCGUCUCACGGCUCGUAACACGCACGCCAGGGCUGCGCAGGAGGAUUGACAGGACAGCAGGAGCAUCUGAGCAGCAGAAUACAGUCGCUCUCAAAGACCGAGAAACGCGGAUCCCAUGUCGUACGCGGUCUACUCGCGAGACGAGGGCUCGCCCCGCAAGUCUCACUACGACAGCUACCCUCCGCCUUCCUCUCACCAACAUCACCCUCACCUCCCGCAGCAAUCCCGCACCGUCCCCAACUCUCCCGCCUCCGCCUCCGGCUCGUUCCUCCCUACCUCACAAUCGGCGGCUCACCACCUCGGCCCUCGAUCUUACACGAGCUACAGUCUCGGCCCUGCGUCCUUCGUCGACGAGCAG